AGGCGAAAAGAGCGACGCCGGCUCUCGUUGUGCCCGAGAGCCGGCUACUUUCGGCGGCCCAUAAUCUCUUUGCGCAGGUGGUCGAUCACAGCCGUGUGCAUGCGCCGGGCGAGGAUCGAGGCGGCGCGGCACGCCAGAGGCGCACACAAUACUCCCGCGCAGCCCAAGCCAUAGCCGCCUCCCAAUCCCAAUAUCGCGCCCAUUGUCAUGAUGUCGUCGACGUCGCUGGUUUCUCUGAAUGCGCCAGGCACGGCGCGCCACACUGCAUAGAGGCCCGCUCCCGGCACGCCCAACAGGACGAUCGGCACCGACACCUUGUAGGGCACGCGACGCGCCAUUCAAGAGCCCAGGUAGACCACUGCGCCGCCCGUACAAAGACCUCCCGCCAGGCCCGCGGCGCCCGAGAGGCAUGCGACAAAUGCCAUUCCUAUACCUGCCAUGCCUUCCGGUGUUUUUUUGGCGUGUUGUCUGGCGAUGGUUGUCCCGUCGAGGAUGGUGUGUUUUGUGUAAAGAGGGCCGUCUGUACCUCGGUCGCCUGUCGCGUCCAAGCAAAAGACCGCGCGAAUCUUUUUGAUUGGCGAGCGAC
RNAcentral lists this long non-coding RNA (586 nucleotides) under Pandoravirus salinus. RNAcentral describes it as "putative ncRNA". The record is from RNAcentral.